CCUACGGGAGGCAGCAGUGAGGAAUAUUGGUCAAUGGUCGGGAGACUGAACCAGCCAAGCCGCGUGAGGGAUGAAGGUACAGAGUAUCGUAAACCUCUUUUGUCAGGGAACAAAGGCGGGGCCGUGUCCCCGGAUGAGUGUACCUGAAGAAAAAGCAUCGGCUAACUCCGUGCCAGCCGCCGCGGUAAUACGGGGGAUUCGAGCGUUCUCGGGAUUUAUUGGGUUUAAAGGGUUCGAAGGCGGUCGGUUAAGUCAGCGGUCAAAGCCCGGGUAUCAACCCCGGCCCGCCGUUGAAACUGGCAGUCUCGAGUUGGAGAGAAGUAUGCGGAAUGCGCGGUGUAGCGGUGAAAUGCAUAGAUAUCGCGCAGAA
Molecule: ribosomal RNA, 370 nt
Filed under: uncultured bacterium
Lineage: Bacteria
Description: partial 16S ribosomal RNA
Rfam family: Bacterial small subunit ribosomal RNA
Source: RNAcentral